Pochonia chlamydosporia 170 is the source of this 96-nucleotide transfer RNA. It matches the Rfam family "tRNA". From Rfam's summary of the family: Transfer RNA (tRNA) molecules are approximately 80 nucleotides in length. Their secondary structure includes four short double-helical elements and three loops (D, anti-codon, and T loops). Lineage: Eukaryota; Fungi; Ascomycota; Sordariomycetes; Hypocreales; Clavicipitaceae. The record is from Rfam.
GGGCGGAUGGUUUAGUGGUAUAAUACUCCCUUAGCAUGUUUCCACCUGUUGGAUCUGAUCUGGGAGUGGUCCGGGGUUCGAUUCCCCGUUCGUCCA